RNAcentral lists this long non-coding RNA (250 nucleotides) under Homo sapiens (human). RNAcentral's name for it is "non-protein coding lnc-BCL2L15-3:1". The record is from RNAcentral. Lineage: Eukaryota; Metazoa; Chordata; Mammalia; Primates; Hominidae.
UUAGGAAGCUGAAAAAAGGAAAUCUGAUUAUAUAAUCAGGACUCUAAAAGUUAAGUUCAAUAGGAAACUCGAACUAUCUACCAGUUUCAUUACAAGAAUUGGCCAGACCAUGAUGUACCUUCAUCUAUAGACCCUAUUCUUGAGCUCAUCUGGGAUGUACGUUGUUACCAAGAGGAUGACAGUGUUCCCAUAUGCAUUCACUGCAUGCUGGCUGUGGAAGGACUGGUGUUAUUUGUGCUAUUGAUUAUAC